Molecule: ribosomal RNA, 406 nt
Filed under: uncultured bacterium
Lineage: Bacteria
Description: partial 16S ribosomal RNA
Rfam family: Bacterial small subunit ribosomal RNA
Source: RNAcentral
AUUGAACGCUGGCGGCAGGCCUAACACAUGCAAGUCGAACGAGUGGCGGACAGGUGAGUGAUAUCUGUGAAACUGCCUGAUGUAGGGGGAUAACAGCUGUAAACGGUAGCUAUUAACGCAUACCCGCAGAUGUGCGCAGAUGGGUUUCGCUAGUCUGUGGGGUAAUGGCUCACCUAGGCGACGAUCCCUAGAUGGUCUGAGAGGAUGACCAGCCACACUGGAACUGAGACACGGCCCAGACUCAUACGGGAGGCAGCGUUGGGGAAUAUUGCACAAUGGGAUCAAGCCUGAUGCAGCCAUGCCGCGUGUGGGAAGAAGGCCUUCGGGUUGUAAAGCACUUUCAGCGAGGAGGCGUUACUCGCAGAAGAAGCACCGGCUAACUCCGUGCCAGCAGCCGCGGUAAUUC